GAUGAACGCUAGCGACAGGCUUAACACAUGCAAGUCGAGGGGCAGCAUGAGGUAGCAAUACCUUGAUGGCGACCGGCGCACGGGUGAGUAACGCGUAUGCAACCUGCCCGAUACCGGGGUAUAGCCCAUGGAAACGUGGAUUAACACCCCAUAGUACUUUUAUCCUGCAUGGGAUGUGAGUUAAAUGUUCAAGGUAUCGGAUGGGCAUGCGUCCUAUUAGUUAGUUGGCGGGGUAACAGCCCACCAAGACGAUGAUAGGUAGGGGCUCUGAGAGGAAGGUCCCCCACAUUGGAACUGAGACACGGUCCAAACUCCUACGGGAGGCAGCAGUGAGGAAUAUUGGUCAAUGGACGUAAGUCUGAACCAGCCAAGUCGCGUGAGGGAAGGCUGCCCUAUGGUUUGUAAACCUCUUUUAUAAGGGAAGAAUAAGUUCUACGUGUAGAAUGAUGCCUGUACCUUAUGAAUAAGCAUCGGCUAACUCCGUGCCAGCAGCCGCCGUAA
This 501-nucleotide ribosomal RNA is filed under the name uncultured bacterium. RNAcentral describes it as "partial 16S ribosomal RNA". It matches the Rfam family "Bacterial small subunit ribosomal RNA", at positions 28 to 523 of the family's 1533-position model. The record is from RNAcentral.